Molecule: microRNA, 21 nt
Filed under: Populus tomentosa
Lineage: Eukaryota; Viridiplantae; Streptophyta; Magnoliopsida; Malpighiales; Salicaceae
Description: Pto-N27
Source: RNAcentral
CACAUUGACAAGAGGCUCACU